Molecule: long non-coding RNA, 1849 nt
Organism: Bubalus bubalis (water buffalo)
Lineage: Eukaryota; Metazoa; Chordata; Mammalia; Artiodactyla; Bovidae
Exons: 2
Source: RefSeq, a predicted model, not a curated record
UUAACUAAGCUUAAAGUUUGUGGAAAUUUAAAUCCUGCCACUUUCCUUACUGAGAAGGAAAAUGAAACACCUGAUCACGAUUGUUCCCAAUUCCAAACUUUAAACUAUGCCACUCAGGAGGAUCUAACGGAUACCCCACUAGACAAUCCCGACAUGGAAAUAUUUACUGAUGGCAGUUCUUUUGUUCGGGAUGGAAAGCGUAAAGCAGGUUACGCGGUGGUGACUGCUGAACAGGUUUUAGAAGCAAAAUCUCUCCCCCAGGGAACCAGUGCUCUGUUAGUGGAGCCUGUGGCCCUGACCCGAGCUCUAGAGUUAAGCAAAGGGCAGCGGGUAAAUAUCUACACGGAUUCUAAGUGUGCUUAUUUGACUUUACACGCUCAUGCUGCAGUAUGGAAAGAGACAGUUUAAAACAGCAACAGGAGAACCUAUUAAGCAUUUCAGAGAGAUCGAGAGACUUUUAACUGCUGUAUAUUGUCCUAAAGAAGUAGCUGUUAUGCAUUGCCAAGGACACAACGGGGAUGGGGGUAAAGUAGCUGAAGGUAAUCAGCUGGCUGAUUGUCAAGCCAGAAAAGCAGCACUUUACAAAACCCCUUCACUACAGACGCCUUUGAUCUGGACAGGUCCUGUGAAACAGAAAAAAACACAAUGUACUGAGGAAGAAUUAGAAAGAUAUGAGAAAAGAGGAGCAAAGAUUACUGAUAAAGGAUGGUUACAGUCUGAGGAUGGACGAUUAAUAAUUCCUGAAAGUGCUUAGUAGAAAAUUCUUAAGGGUUUACACCAGAGUUUUCAUUUGGGUGCAGAGAGUACUUACCAGAUGGCUUCUCGUUUGUUUGAAGAUGGGCCUGAUAAUCUAUGUGAGCCUACUUCUGCCGACUCCAAAAAAUCUUGAAUCUGCUGUUUGAUCCUCAAGACAAUGCCUUCCUGUCCUGAGCUCACUCCUAUGCUGAAUUCCACAAUCAGUCUAACUGCUGGGUCUGUGGAGCGCUCCCCUUUUCAUCAGUGGAAGGCUUCCUGUGAUGGAAUCUCCACUUCAAAGAAAAGACUUUCUCCAAGUCUGCGAACAGCUUCGACAACAAUCACAUGCGAUGCCUCUUCUUCAUCUGAUGACAUCUAACAGCCUUAGGAUGGACUGAUGUAACUAUGGACAUAAUGUGACUUUUCAUUUUGAUUUUAAGUUGGUUUAAUGACUAUUUUGCCUUACUUCUGUAACUGUAUAAUGGGGUUUUCUAACCGUCUAAAAGCUUUUAAGUUACAAAUGGUUGUUCAAGCUCCUACGGGUGCCACAGCCUCCUCCAACUAUUACUUGGGGCCCCUGGAUCAGAGACCCUCAAUAUGCAGGUUAGGAGAAUAUGUUGGUUCAACAAUUUAAGGGCCAUGCCCCUAAACAGCAGGAAGUAGUUAUGGAACGAAAACGACGCCCCUUUCCCUUGGCAUAAUUCUCAUUAAAGAAAAGGAGGGAAUGAGAGAGUAAUUUCCUAGGCAGGUUGAUAAGAAGUCUAUGGGUCCCCAAGGAGAGAGGAGUCUGGAAUGCUCAAGGAGGAAGAAAGGACAAACUUUUUUCCCCUCUAUAUUCCUUAGGAUUAUAUAACAAUAAUGUAUCCUGCUUGAGGACAGUCUCUGGAAAAAACGCUUCUGGCUAAUCCUGUUAUCUUAAGGUGUAAAUUAUGGAGUAGGUCUAGUGAGGACUUAACAACCUCCAGGCAUUCUUUUAAUUCACUGUAAUAACUAAUUAGAGAGUAUGUAACUCCAUGGCUAACACUAGCAAGGGGCACUCUUUUUACCCCCUUCUGAUUCCUAUGUCAGAAGAUUUCUCUAUCUCCUUUAUACUUCAAUAAAACUUUAUUACACA